RNAcentral lists this ribosomal RNA (310 nucleotides) under Apathya cappadocica. RNAcentral's name for it is "partial 12S ribosomal RNA". It matches the Rfam family "Bacterial small subunit ribosomal RNA", at positions 869 to 1344 of the family's 1533-position model. The record is from RNAcentral. Lineage: Eukaryota; Metazoa; Chordata; Lepidosauria; Squamata; Lacertidae.
CCGCCAGAGAACUACAAGUGAAAAACUUAAAACUCAAAGGACUUGACGGUGUCCCAUAUCGACCUAGAGGAGCCUGUCCUAUAAUCGAUACCCCCCGUUCCACCCAACCUCAACUAGCAAAUUUCAGCCUAUAUACCGCCGUCGACAGCCUACCCUAUGAAGGUCUAAAAGUAGACACAAUAGCCUCCCCCGCUAACACGUCAGGUCAAGGUGUAGCAAAUGUUGAGGAAGAGAUUGGCUACAUUUUUUAAUAUAAAAAUCACGAAAAGCAUUAUGAAACCAUGCAUGAAGGUGAAUUUAGUAGUAAAAU